CAUAAAGUAGUUUAAUGUAAAACGUGAAAUUGCAAAUUUUAAGAUGCUCAAGAAAUUGGCCUUUGUGU
Molecule: transfer RNA, 68 nt
Rfam family: tRNA
About the family: Transfer RNA (tRNA) molecules are approximately 80 nucleotides in length. Their secondary structure includes four short double-helical elements and three loops (D, anti-codon, and T loops).